RNAcentral lists this long non-coding RNA (2719 nucleotides) under Sus scrofa (pig). Its description in RNAcentral is "lncRNA (ENSSSCG00025013465.1)". The record is from RNAcentral. Lineage: Eukaryota; Metazoa; Chordata; Mammalia; Artiodactyla; Suidae.
AGCUUAAGAUGCCUUGGGAGGCUUGCGGGAGGAGGUCCGACUGUGCUCAAAGCUGCCUGCGGGGGAUGCCAAGAAGCCAACCGAGGCCAAGCCGGUCCAGGAGGGCUCCUGGUCCCACCCAGGUGCUCCGUCCGGAUGGAACAAAGCCUGCAGAAUGGAGUCAUCAGAGGCUGGCUCAGUUCUGUGAGUUUUCACAUUGAACAAAGGGCGGAUGGGAGAUAAGGAAGGACAUGCUGGCUGGCACAUUAUUUUCUGGACUGCAUUUCAAGAGUUUUUCUAAAAUAUGUUAUAACUGAGAAUCUUAACUGCCAGAGAGAGGGCCAAAGAAGGGCUAUGCAACUGUCCUUAUCUCUCUGGGCAGCCCUAGGGAGCAGACCUGGGGUAGAAAUGACACGUGGACAGAACUAGAGGUUUCGUGAAGGGCUUUUUUAAUGAAAUCUGUUUACUGGAGAGGGGAUGAUGCACCUGCCUCUUUCUCCAUGUUCAUCUCAUCUUUUCUUUUGUUGCUGUUGUUUUAAGAUUUUCUGGCCUCUCUGUGGCAUAUGGAGUUCCUGGGCCAGGGAUCAGAUCUGAGCCACAGUGCAGUUUCGACCUACACCACAGCUGUGGCAACACUGGAUCCUUAACCCACUGGGCCAGGCCAGGGAUCGAACCCGCGUCCCAGCGUUCCAGAGACACUGCUGAUCCCAUUUCACCACAGCAGGAAUGCCUCGUUUAUCCCCAUCUCCGUCAUCCUUUCAAGUCAUCUGUCUCCCCUUCUGCCUUCUCUGACUAACCUUUACUUGUUCUUCAACUUCUUUGACCUUUAAAUUAAGGCAAGCAUCUCCAUCCCAUUAAUACGCACGCACGAAACCUACACUUGUCAUUGCAUGACUGGGGCAAAAAUACAUUGACAGCUGACAGCCCUCUGCCUCUGAGGUGGCAAGUCCUCUGCCUAGGACUCGUGAUCAGCUUCAGGUAGAAGGAGAGGACCUCGGGCUAUCGGCAGGAGCUUAAAGAACAGAAAGAAAAGAAGAAAACUGCUCUGUACGAGAGGAGAGAAAUUGGCAUUCUCUAAGAGGGAGUCAUCCAGACGCUGUGAGGCUGGGAUCAACUCUGAAUAAGGCGCGGGGAAACAGAUAGAGAGAAGGGGCUUCUUUGUGAUUCCAGAAGUCUUUUUUUCAAGAGGAAAGCAGCACAAAGACUCGGAGCAGCAACAGCAGCAGAGCACCGCGUGGAAGCCUGGCCCGGAGAAGUGAUACCACAGAGGGAACAGGCCACGGAGACAGAUCUCAUUAAUGCUCACGGCCUUUGUGCAGCUCAUUAGCGGCGCAGCACACUCAAUAUUUACCCUUGUGCGCCUACCAAGUUCCACUUUCUCCUUGAGAAGCAAGCUGUUUCUCUACCUGAGUCAUGGCAAGGGGAACCUCCACUGCCAGACAACAGCUUCAUCUCUGCCUGUGUGGACUGGCUGGGGCAAAGUCGGGCCCCCAGUGGCCUCGCCCAGGAGGGUGCCAUUUUCAUGAUUCAACCCGGCAGCUGUCGGCCCUAAGUCCCCCUCCAGAACUGACAAUGUGUCUUGCCAUCCUCUCCUUCCUCUGGAAGGAUCCAUUCUCUGAGCUCCGGGCAGGCUCCUCCUUCCCUUAGGAUCUGGGAAAAGGGGUGAACCCCGAGAAAGGGCCUUCUCCUCCGGGCCUGUCUGAGCAGAGGUCUCCUGGUGACCUGCCCACCAUUCAGUCCACAAGCUUUAGCAGCCUCUGGAGCUGAGCCACCACACACUGUGCAGAGAGCUGGGAACACAAUGGCGAAAGGGCAGGGCUCUGCCCCCAAAGCUCCUAUGAAUGGUGAACUUGCAACUAUCACCUUGCAAGGGGAGAGCGCAGGGCAAGAGAUGCGUGUCAGGGAAGGACCGCUCCGGCCAGAGCAGGGGAGUCAGGAAGAGCGUUAAGGAGGAGGAAUCAUGGAACCGUCACCUGGAGCCCUGAGCCCAGAGCAGUGGCCAGCGGCGAAGUCGGCUCCCCUAGGGGCCCCUCCCCUUCCUCUGAAGCCACAGGCUUGGAAUCUGAGGAAGGGUCGCAGCUCUGGCCCUGGCCCUGGCCCUGCCGAAGUGAUGUAGAUAGAGAGGCUGCCUCAGAGAUGGAAUGUUCUGGAGAUGAGCAGGCUGGUCACUGAUCUGUCAGGAACUGGGCUUGUUCCCCGGCCCUGCCUCAGGUCACCUCCACACUCAUCAGGGCUCUGAGGGCCUCCCUAGCUCCUCAGUCACGGUGAACGCCAAGCACACAGAGGACCACAGGCCAGUGGGCUCUCCUCAUACCUGGAGACCUGCGGUGACCAAAUGUGCUGUCCCCCAAAAUUAACAUGUCGAAGCUUAACCCCGCCCCCCGAAGUGAGGCCUUUGGGAGGUGGUUAGUGUGGUCCAUACACACAGGUUGGAAAAAGAAUUUUCCAGAUGUAGAGGGGUGAAAAGAAAGAAGAGUGUAUUGAGCUAAGAGACGCUGCUAGCAGAGGGCCAACCGGAGCUCGUGUCAUGUCUGCUUUUAUGGCCCAAGGAGAGGAGAGGUCUUAGGAUACACCUGCUCACCUCUAAUUGAUUGGGGAAAGAAGGGUCUUACAAUACACUUGCUGGUUGGUUGGGAGCUUAUCAGGCAUCUGUAGGGGCGGGGUGAGGAGUGGGCCACCGACCUUUCCCAGUAGGGACAGGAAGGAGCAGGCCAAGUUGCUCAAGGUGGGGGAGGGGCAU